This 429-nucleotide non-coding RNA is filed under the name Pan troglodytes (chimpanzee). Lineage: Eukaryota; Metazoa; Chordata; Mammalia; Primates; Hominidae. The record is from RNAcentral.
GAGAAGAGCUGCACUGGUUCAUAACUUUUCAGUUCCUGGUUCCAGUUCAUAAUGAGGUUCAACCGGACUUCCUAUCCUUAGGGUCUGAUGGAAGGCUUUCUCAUUUCACAGCUGACAGCACUGGAGACAGAGCAGAAUCACAGAAGAAGAAAAUAAUGAGACCCUCAACUGGCUCUGAGAAAGCAAGCUAUCAUCUUGUGAAAUGCCCUGUGGAAAAGCCCAUGUAGCAAAGGACAGCCAAUAGCCACAGAAAGCUGAUGCCCUCAGUCCAACAGCCUGCAAGAAACUGAAUUCUGCCAGCAACCAUGUGAGAUUGGAAGCAGAUUCUUCCAUGCAGUCUUGUGAGAGAUUAUGAAGCAAAGGACUCAAGUUGUGCCCAGAUUCCUGACCCACAGAUACUGUGUGAUAAUAAAUGCAUAUUGUCUUAAG